This 408-nucleotide ribosomal RNA is filed under the name uncultured bacterium. RNAcentral's name for it is "partial 16S ribosomal RNA". It matches the Rfam family "Bacterial small subunit ribosomal RNA", at positions 28 to 526 of the family's 1533-position model. The record is from RNAcentral.
GACGAACGCUGGCGGCGUGCUUAACACAUGCAAGUCGAACGAAGUGGCGAACGGGUGAGUAACGCGUAAUCAACCUGCCCUUCAGAGGGGGACAACAGUUGGAAACGACUGCUAAUACCGCAUACUGAAGGAGGGGAUUGCGUCUGAUUAGCUAGUUGGAGGGGUAACGGCCCACCAAGGCGAUGAUCAGUAGCGGGUCUGAGAGUAUGAACGGCACACUUGGGAAUGAUACACUGCCCAGACUCCUACGGGAGGCAGCAGUGGGGAAUCUUCCGCAAUGGACGAAAGUCUGACGGAGCAACGCCGCGUGAGUGAUGACGGCCAUUGGGUUGUAAAGCUCUGUUAAUCGGGACGCGGUACCGGAAUAGAAAGCCACGGCUAACUACGUGCCAGCAGCCGCGGUAAUUC